UACGUAGGGUGCAAGCGUUAAUCGGAAUUACUGGGCGUAAAGCGUGCGCAGGCGGUUUUGUAAGUCUGACGUGAAAUCCCCGGGCUCAACCUGGGAAUUGCGUUGGAGACUGCAAGGCUAGAAUCUGGCAGAGGGGGGUAGAAUUCCACGUGUAGCAGUGAAAUGCGUAGAGAUGUGGAGGAACACCGAUGGCGAAAGCAGCCCCCUGGGUCAAGAUUGACGCUCAUGCACGAAAGCGUGGGGAGCAAACAGG
Molecule: ribosomal RNA, 253 nt
Filed under: uncultured bacterium
Lineage: Bacteria
Description: partial 16S ribosomal RNA
Rfam family: Bacterial small subunit ribosomal RNA
Source: RNAcentral